Molecule: non-coding RNA, 30 nt
Filed under: Mus musculus (house mouse)
Lineage: Eukaryota; Metazoa; Chordata; Mammalia; Rodentia; Muridae
Source: RNAcentral
UGUGCAUAUAGCAGAGAGGCAGCUUUCAAG